RNAcentral lists this ribosomal RNA (994 nucleotides) under Globodera rostochiensis. RNAcentral describes it as "partial large subunit ribosomal RNA". It matches the Rfam family "Eukaryotic large subunit ribosomal RNA", at positions 91 to 919 of the family's 3401-position model. Lineage: Eukaryota; Metazoa; Nematoda; Chromadorea; Rhabditida; Heteroderidae. The record is from RNAcentral.
GAGUGAACUGGGAAGAGUCCAGCGCUGAAUCACUUCUCCUCUGGGGUCGUGAGGUGUAGCGUACAGACCGUGAGCUUGGAUUGGCCUGCUUGUUCAAGUUUCCCUUGACCGGGGCUCCAGAGAAGGUGCAAGACCUGUCCAACGAGUGGUUGCCUAUCCAUCUUCGCGUGUCUUGGAGUCGGGUUGUUUGGGAUCGCAGCCCAAAGUAGGUGGUAAACUUCAUCUAAGACUGAAUACGGCCACGAGUCCGAUAGCGAACAAGUACCGUGAGGGAAAGUUGCAAAGCACUUUGAAGAGAGAGUUAAAGAGGACGUGAAACCGAUGAGAUGGAAACGGACAGAGCUGGCGUAUCUGGUCUGCAUUCAUCCGUGUGUUCUUGGGCGUUUGGAUUGCCACUCCAGACUGGGAUGGUGUUCAUUCUGUUCAGGGGCUCAUGGAGCAUUUGCAGGCGGAGUGCGCUGAGAUGCUCGGAGCAGCUGCAUGAGCUUGGCUUUGAGGCCAGCCCUUCGGGGUCUGGUACCCGGGCUGUGGGAGUGCUGUUUGUUCUGGGUGCUGAGUGUGUGCAAUGGCAACGGGUCCGUGUUGGUUUGAGCUGGCGGUCGGUGGCGGUCGCGUGCGACACGUGCCAGCAGUCAGUUCGGUCCUGCUCGGGCUCUCAUUGCAUGUUCUCGGUGUAAAAGCCGGUCAUCUGUCCGACCCGUCUUGAAACACGGACCAAGGAGUUUAGCGUGUGCGCGAGUCAUUGGGAGUUGAAAACCCAAGGGCGUAAUGAAAGUGAAGGUCUCCUUGCGGAGCUGAUGUGUGAUCUCGUGCACCCCGGUGUGCGGGCGCAACAUAGUCCCGUCCCGAUCGCAUGCGAUGGGGCGGAGACAGAGCGUACGCGCUGAGACCCGAAAGAUGGUGAACUAUUCCUGAGCAGGAUGAAGCCAGAGGAAACUCUGGUGGAAGUCCGAAGCGAUUCUGACGUGCAAAUCGAUCGUCUGACUUGGGUAUA